UACGGGGGGGGCAAGCGUUGUUCGGAAUUACUGGGCGUAAAGGGCUCGUAGGCGGCCAACUAAGUCCGACGUGAAAUCCCAAGGCUUAACCUUGGAACUGCGUCGGAUACUGGAUGGCUUAAUUCGGGAGAGGGAUGCAGAAUUCCAGGUGUAGCGGUGAAAUGCGUAGAUAUCAGGAGGAACACCGAUGGCGAAGGCAGGUCUCUGGGCCACUACUGACGCUGAGAAGCGAAAGCGUGGGGAGCAAACAGG
RNAcentral lists this ribosomal RNA (252 nucleotides) under uncultured bacterium. RNAcentral's name for it is "partial 16S ribosomal RNA". It matches the Rfam family "Bacterial small subunit ribosomal RNA", at positions 524 to 776 of the family's 1533-position model. The record is from RNAcentral.